UAGGAGGUCCUGGAGACACGUGCUCAUU
This 28-nucleotide non-coding RNA is filed under the name Homo sapiens (human). The record is from RNAcentral. Lineage: Eukaryota; Metazoa; Chordata; Mammalia; Primates; Hominidae.